RNAcentral lists this unclassified non-coding RNA (334 nucleotides) under soil metagenome. RNAcentral describes it as "partial contains 5.8S ribosomal RNA, internal transcribed spacer 2, and large subunit ribosomal RNA". The stretch from base 1 to 120 matches the Rfam family "5.8S ribosomal RNA", at positions 35 to 154 of the family's 154-position model. The record is from RNAcentral.
GAUGAAGAACGCAGCGAAAUGCGAUAAGUAAUGUGAAUUGCAGAAUUCAGUGAAUCAUCGAAUCUUUGAACGCACAUUGCGCCCCCCAGUAUUCUGGCGGGCAUGUCUGUUCGAGCGUCAUUUCAACCAUCAAGCCCUGCUUGUGUUGGGGUCCUGCGGCUGCCCGCAGGCCCUGAAAACCAGUGGCGGGCUCGCUAGUCACACCGAGCGCAGUAGCACAUCUCGCUCAGGGCGUGCGGCGGGCUCCAGCCGUUAAAGCACCCACCUUUCGCAAGGUUGACCUCGGAUCAGGUAGGAAUACCCGCUGAACUUAAGCAUAUCAAUAAGCGGAGGA